GACGAACGCUGGCGGCGUGCCUAAUACAUGCAAGUUGAGCGCUGAAGGUUGGUACUUGUCCCGACUGGAUGAGCAGCGAACGGGUGAGUAACGCGUGGGGAAUCUGCCUUUGAGCGGGGGACAACAUUUGGAAACGAAUGCUAAUACCGCAUAAAAACUUUAAACACAAGUUUUAAGUUUGAAAGAUGCAAUUGCAUCACUCAAAGAUGAUCCCGCGUUGUAUUAGCUAGUUGGUGAGGUAAAGGCUCACCAAGGCGAUGAUACAUAGCCGACCUGAGAGGGUGAUCGGCCACAUUGGGACUGAGACACGGCCCAAACUCCUACGGGAGGCAGCAGUAGGGAAUCUUCGGCAAUGGACGAAAGUCUGACCGAGCAACGCCGCGUGAGUGAAGAAGGUUUUCGGAUCGUAAAACUCUGUUGGUAGAGAAGAACGUUGGUGAGAGUGGAAAGCUCAUCAAGUGACGGUAACUACCCAGAAGGGGACGGCUAACUACGUG
RNAcentral lists this ribosomal RNA (497 nucleotides) under uncultured bacterium. RNAcentral describes it as "partial 16S ribosomal RNA". It matches the Rfam family "Bacterial small subunit ribosomal RNA", at positions 28 to 507 of the family's 1533-position model. The record is from RNAcentral.